This 223-nucleotide long non-coding RNA is filed under the name Ananas comosus (pineapple). Its description in RNAcentral is "long non-coding RNA (ACOM_LNC020082)". The record is from RNAcentral. Lineage: Eukaryota; Viridiplantae; Streptophyta; Magnoliopsida; Poales; Bromeliaceae.
CUUUAAAAAAAAAAAACUUUCAUUAAUUAAUGUUGUAACAUUCUAAUAAUUUCAUAUCGAAUGAAAAAGGGCUUUUGAUUGAGAAUAUAAAAGGCUGCGUGCGCACUUUAGUAAUAAUAACUAAAUUUAAGCAUUGUUGGCCGAUGGUUUGAGUCCCACGAGUUAUCAUUAUCAGAAUAUUUAUAAAAAUUAAGUGUUAUGCAGAUAUGUGAUCAGAUCUGGA